CAUGAUGAACGCUGGCGGCGUGCCUAAUACAUGCAAGUCGAGCGAACGGACGAGAAGCUUGCUUCUCUGAUGUUAGCGGCGGACGGGUGAGUAACACGUGGAUAACCUACCUAUAAGACUGGGAUAACUUCGGGAAACCGGAGCUAAUACCGGAUAAUAUUUUGAACCGCAUGGUUCAAAAGUGAAAGACGGUCUUGCUGUCACUUAUAGAUGGAUCCGCGCUGCAUUAGCUAGUUGGUAAGGUAACGGCUUACCAAGGCAACGAUGCAUAGCCGACCUGAGAGGGUGAUCGGCCACACUGGAACUGAGACACGGUCCAGACUCCUACGGGAGGCAGCAGUAGGGAAUCUUCCGCAAUGGGCGAAAGCCUGACGGAGCAACGCCGCGUGAGUGAUGAAGGUCUUCGGAUCGUAAAACUCUGUUAUUAGGGAAGAACAUAUGUGUAAGUAACUGUGCACAUCUUGACGGUACCUAAUCAGAAAGCCACGGCUAACUACGUGCCAGCAGCCGCGGUAAUACGUAGGUGGCAAGCGUUAUCCGGAAUUAUUGGGCGUAAAGCGCGCGUAGGCGGUUUUUUAAGUCUGAUGUGAAAGCCCACGGCUCAACCGUGGAGGGUCAUUGGAAACUGGAAAACUUGAGUGCAGAAGAGGAAAGUGGAAUUCCAUGUGUAGCGGUGAAAUGCGCAGAGAUAUGGAGGAACACCAGUGGCGAAGGCGACUUUCUGGUCUGUAACUGACGCUGAUGUGCGAAAGCGUGGGGAUCAAACAGGAUUAGAUACCCUGGUAGUCCACGCCAUAAACGAUGAGUGCUAAGUGUUAGGGGGUUUCCGCCCCUUAGUGCUGCAGCUAACGCAUUAAGCACUCCGCCUGGGGAGUACGACCGCAAGGUUGAAACUCAAAGGAAUUGACGGGGACCCGCACAAGCGGUGGAGCAUGUGGUUUAAUUCGAAGCAACGCGAAGAACCUUACCAAAUCUUGACAUCCUUUGACAACUCUAGAGAUAGAGCCUUCCCCUUCGGGGGACAAAGUGACAGGUGGUGCAUGGUUGUCGCCAGCUCGUGUCGUGAGAUGUUGGGUUAAGUCCCGCAACGAGCGCAACCCUUAAGCUUAGUUGCCAUCAUUAAGUUGGGCACUCUAAGUUGACUGCCGGUGACAAACCGGAGGAAGGUGGGGAUGACGUCAAAUCAUCAUGCCCCUUAUGAUCUGGGCUACACACGUGCUACAAUGGACAAUACAAAGGGCAGCGAAACCGCGAGGUCAAGCAAAUCCCAUAAAGUUGUUCUCAGUUCGGAUUGUAGUCUGCAACUCGACUACAUGAAGCUGGAAUCGCUAGUAAUCGUAGAUCAGCAUGCUACGGUGAAUACGUUCCCGGGUCUUGUACACACCGCCCGUCACACCACGAGAGUUUGUAACACCCGAAGCCGGUGGAGUAACCUUUUAGGAGCUAGCCGUCGAAGGUGGGACAAAUGA
This 1469-nucleotide ribosomal RNA is filed under the name uncultured organism. RNAcentral's name for it is "partial small subunit ribosomal RNA". It matches the Rfam family "Bacterial small subunit ribosomal RNA". The record is from RNAcentral.